Molecule: long non-coding RNA, 1618 nt
Filed under: Homo sapiens (human)
Lineage: Eukaryota; Metazoa; Chordata; Mammalia; Primates; Hominidae
Description: long independently transcribed non-coding RNA 2594, transcript variant 1 (LINC02594)
Source: RNAcentral
AGCAGAGAGGUUGCGGUAAGCCAAGAUUGUACAACUGCACUCCGGCCUGGGCGACAGAGUGAGACACUGUCUCAAAAAAAAAAAAAAAGAAAAAGAAAAAGAAAUAAAGAAAGAAAUCCUUUAUGCAAAAGGCAGAAACCUGUUCUCAAGGAAAAGAGCUAAGGUAGGCUGCCAGAUAAAAUGCUGAGGUGAUCCAGAAUUACUCCCGAACUCUACCAGCUGAAAUCCUCCUCAACUCACAUCAGACAAGACGGCCCUGCCACUUACCUGUCAGAUCACUUUGGGCAGUUUACAGGAGAGAAGAUGCAGCCUGGGAGAGAUGCAGCAGGUGUCUGAGGCCACACAGCAAGUCACCCAGGGCCAGGAUCUGAAGCUGGGUCUCUCCAGCUCCACUGCCUGGGCACUUUCUCCUCCACAGCGACCUUCAGGUCAUCAUGAGGAGCCUUUCGGACUAAAGCUAGAGAGCUGGGAUUCCAACAGUUCAGCAACCCAUGACUUCUCCAUGGCAGCUGCUGCCUGACCACCUAGUGCCUUUCCACUAAGAUUGUUCCUUCCCUCUCCUGAAGAUUAUCCUCCUGCCCCUCUCUCCCAAACAUCUGCGGUGUGCACCUGCUGCCCAAAGUUGAACUUUUUUUUGUUAGAGACAGGGCCUCACUGUGUCAUCCAGGCUGGAGUGCAGUGGCGUGAUCAUAGCUCACUGCAGCCUCCAACUCCUGGGCUCAAGUGACCCUCUCACCUCAGCUUCCUGAGUAGCUGGGACUACAGGCAUGCACCACCACGCCUGGCUAAUUUUUAAAUUUUUUGCAGAGACAGGGUCUAGCUAUGUUGCCCACCCUGGUCUUGAACUCCUGGGCUCAAGCAAUCUGUCUGCCUUGGUCUCCCAGCUCGCUGGGAUUACAGGCAUGAAUCACCAUGCCCGGUCCUCCAAAGUUGAACUUUUGAGACUCAGUUUCCUUCUUGGUAAAUUCAGGCUCCUAGGUGCUACCUCCUCAGAGACAUCCUCCUUGACCACAUCACAUGACCUCUCGCAGAGGCCAGAUUCUUUAAUGUAUUCAUUUGUCUAUUAUCAUGUUUCCCCAGUAGAAGUUGCACAAACGGCAGGGGCUUCAUCUGUUUUGUUUGCCGUUAUGUCCUUAGCACCUAAAAUUGUGCCUGGCACAUAUAGUACUCAGUAUGUAUUUGCUGGGUCAAUGAGUGAGUGAAUUUAUACUAAUAACAGCAGCUACCAUUUCUAGAGUGUUUACCAUAUAUUGGGCACUGUGUCAAUCUUCCCAACAACCCACAGACGAAGAUCAAUUAUUACACCCAUUGUACAGAUCAGGAAACUGAGUCAGGUUAAGAAACUUGCCCUAAAUCCUACAGUCUCACUUAGAACUUCUGACUGCAGUGCUCAUCAGAAUGCAUUGUCAACCCAAAGGUCAUUUCCAGCUCAGGUGGCUUCUAUCAAAAGAGCUCAUCCUGGCCUUUCCAAGAGCCAGACCUCCGACAUCGGUGGAGCCCUGUGCAUAGCUGGCCUCUCCUGGGCGUCUUGUCCCAAGUACAGAGACCUGGAUCCUUUCCCACUCAUGUGCAACAGCCCAAAAUUAAAAACAAAAGCCAUAUUAAAAAACAAAACCAA